Molecule: long non-coding RNA, 362 nt
Filed under: Ananas comosus (pineapple)
Lineage: Eukaryota; Viridiplantae; Streptophyta; Magnoliopsida; Poales; Bromeliaceae
Description: long non-coding RNA (ACOM_LNC025287)
Source: RNAcentral
AAUUGGUCUUAGUCAUUGGUGCAAGGACCCGAUCCGUUAAUAAUAAUAAUAAUAAUAAUUUGUUGAGUUCAAAUUAUCGGUCCUAAUUGUCUAAGCUCAGUUAUUAUUAAUAACGUGUAGUCCUUAUGUAUUUUAAUUAGAAUCAUUUUUCCAUCUAACAUGUGACUUUUCGGGUAUUACAAACUCCUCUUGUUUGGAUCCUAAUAUUCUCGUCGGAUUCAAACCAUAUUACAAAUGUAAAUCAAAAUUAUCAUACGAUAUGAGAUUCAAAAAGUGGCGCCUAUAGAUUUAAGAGGUAGCUCCCCAAAAAAGAAAAUAGCAGCCUUUUCGAUAUAUGAAUCAUUAGAUAAUGAAUUCAACGG